RNAcentral lists this ribosomal RNA (440 nucleotides) under uncultured bacterium. RNAcentral describes it as "partial 16S ribosomal RNA". It matches the Rfam family "Bacterial small subunit ribosomal RNA", at positions 338 to 795 of the family's 1533-position model. The record is from RNAcentral.
CCUACGGGAGGCAGCAGUGGGGGAUAUUGCACAAUGGGGGAAACCCUGAUGCAGCGACGCCGCGUGGGUGAAGGAGGGUUUCGGGGCGUAAAGCCCUAUCGGCAGGGAAGAAGAUGACGGUACCUAACCAAGAAGCCCCGGCUAACUCCGGGCCAGCAGCCGCGGUAAUACGUAGGGGGCAAGGGUUAUCCGGAGUUACUGGGUGUAAAGGGCGCGUAGGUGGUUAAUUAAGUCAGGUGUGAAAGUUUGGGGCCCAACCAAGGAACUGCCGUUGAAACUGGUUGACUUGAGUUUAGGAGAGGUAAGCGGAAUUCGUGGUGUAGCGGUGAAAUGCGUAGAUAUCACGAGGAACACCAGUGGCGAAGGCGACUUACUAGACUAUAACUGACGCUGAGGCGCGAAAGCGUGGGGAGCAAACAGGAUUAGAUACCCCAGUAGUC